RNAcentral lists this long non-coding RNA (971 nucleotides) under Homo sapiens (human). Its description in RNAcentral is "HSALNT0151627". The record is from RNAcentral. Lineage: Eukaryota; Metazoa; Chordata; Mammalia; Primates; Hominidae.
UUCCCAAAUUUACAGAACAAUAGGCUUCACAUCCAAAGAGAGGCUAUGGGUUUCCAUUUCAGUGAAAAAAAUGUGGCUGAGAACAUGUACUUUUGAGUUAGAUGGCCUGGGUUCAAAUCCCAACUGAAAAACUUUCUAACUCUGUGACCUUGGGCAAGAUAGUAAACCUCUCUGUGCCUCAAGUUCAAUAUAUAUAAAGUGUGGGUAAUAAGAGUAGCCAUUUCAUAGGAUGGUUGUACAACUUAAAUGAAUGUAUAUUUGUCAGGUGACUAGAAUAAUGCAUGGCGCAUUCUUAAUAGAUGCUAACUUUUCUUAUUUGAUACUUUCUUCUUUUACUUUCCUCAGUAACAUUUUGUAGUCUGCUCCAUGUUGGUUCCAUAUGAGAAUGUUGGGAGGAUAAGAUGAGUCAACACGAUAAGAUGAGUCAACACACAGAAAAUACAGAACAGCAGAUGCCCCAUUGCACUGGGAAUUACAGCAGUGGAAAAAUAACAGACGAAAAUUCCUUCCCUCACUGGCCUCCCAUUCUUGUGGAAGUUUGACUCUAAGCAUUCUGCAGGUACAGACGCUAAAGGCCCUGGCUGCUGUGGCUUGGCCUGUUGCCUGGAGUUAAGUGAUGCUGUUCAUAACCUACUCAAGUCCUGGACCUCUUUGCCACCACUGGGACUGACAGAAUAAUAUUUUGAAAUAUCAUACUGAAGAAUACCAUGGUUUUAUGCAUUUUUCAUUUUCAGUUGAAUUCACAGUCUUAUUCUUUGUCUAUCUGAAUUCCUAUUGCUGGAAAUCAUCUGGAAGUUUCUGACAGAAGGAAUUUCCACAGCUGAGUAUGGCACCAGGGUCAAGCAUAAGAACUGUACUCUUGGCUGGGCAUGGUGGCUCAUGCCUAUAAUCCCAGCACUUUGUGAGGCCGAGGCAGGCAGAUCAAGAGGUCAGGAGAUCGAGACCAGCCUGGCCAACAUAGUGAAGCCCCA